UUUUGAGGUGAGUUUUCCUUCUAUUCAUUUUUCCUCAGUUUGCAGAGUGGCCAAAAGCAAGUUGUAUUGGGAAAAAGAGAAAAAGAGAGGAGAGAAAGAAGGAAAGAAAAGAGAAAGAGAAAAAAAAAGGGAAGAAAAAGAAAAAAAAACGAAAAAAAAAAAAAAAAGAAAAAGAGAAAAAAAAAGAAAGGAGAAAAAAAGGGGGUGGGGGAAGGAAACAAAUCAAAAAGCAAAACAAAACAAAAACAAAAACAAAAACAAAAACAAACAAACAAAAAAAGAACCACCGGGGAGUAUCUUCUGAUUCUGUGUACUUUAAGUCCCUUGGCUUCUCCUGGAAGUUGUCCGUCUAGCUGGUGUUCUGGGGGAGGGGCCUGCUGUGCUGAUUUUCAGGUGUUAGCAGUUGGGGGAGCUGCUGUGCCCCUGCCUGGUGCAGGGCUCAGUGGGGUUGUUUACCCCGUGAGGCCGCAGGAGGAACAGCCCCAGUGGCGGGGCAGCUCUGGAAACCUGGAUUCAGUCCCCGCAGUAACUCCAGAGCUCUCCGUCUGCAGGGCCUGGAGGCUCCGGGCGGGGCCGCUGAUCUGCUCAGCUCGGGGCAGGAGCGUCCUUGCUGUCCUGGGCCCUCCCGGCCUCUGCCUGUCCCGGGGGAGGCGGGAUCCUGGGCUGUGUCCCGGCGCCCUGUGCUCCGGCGCCUGCGCUGGUGGAUUCGCGCUCCCGGGCCGCGCAGCCCCCUCCGCGGAGCUGCCGCCCGAGCCCCUCCGAGCUGCUCCUGGAACCGCGCAGCCCCCUCCGCACGGAGCCUCUUCUUCUGCCCGAGCCCCUCCGAGCUGCUCCCGGGGCCGCGCAGCCCCCUCCGCGCAGCCCCCUCCGCGGAGCCGCCGCCCGAGCCCCCCGAGCUGCUCCGGGUCCCGCCGUGCGCGCUGCAGCCCUUAGGGAGCUCGGCGCACUCUCCUGGGCGCGCAGUUGCUGUUACUGUCCCCGGGAGCCCGAGGGCAUCCCCGCCCUCCUGGGUCCUGCUCCAACUCCCCGCGAGCCCCUUUCCGCCCGGGAAGGUCGGUGCAGCUCCUGCGUCUCCGGGACGGGGCUCUCCUGUCCUGGGGACACUCGCCCCGGCCUCAGCCCGGCUCCUCGCGGGGCCCCUCCCCCUUGGAGGCCUUUGUUUCUUUAUUUCUUUUCCCCCGUCUUCCUACCUUGAUAGAAGCGCGAACUCUUCUCACUGUAGCAUUCCAGCUGGUCUCUCUUUAAAUCUCAGGCCGAAUUCAUAGAUUUUCAGGAUAAUUUGAAGGUUUUCUAGGUAGUUUGGUGGAGACAGGUGAUUUGGAGACCCUACUCUUCCGCCAUCUUGCUCCUCCCCUAUUGCUUGCCAGUUUUAAGGGUAUCAUAAAG
This 1386-nucleotide long non-coding RNA is filed under the name Canis lupus familiaris (dog). RNAcentral's name for it is "lncRNA (ENSCAFG00845018565.1)". The stretch from base 470 to 573 matches the Rfam family "mir-8834 microRNA precursor family". The record is from RNAcentral. Lineage: Eukaryota; Metazoa; Chordata; Mammalia; Carnivora; Canidae.